UCUGACCUCUUGUGUUUCUCUCUUUUCAUCCAAAAGAAUAUGAUCUAUCUUUCCUUUCCAAUCUCUGUUCAGCUCUUCCUUUGAAGCUUUUCAUGAGUUUCUUUGAUAUGUUGAAACUUUGAGAGCUAAUGUCAUCUUUAAACUAUUUCUGUUGUUUGAUUUCUUUAUUUUGCAUUUUAUAGGUUUUUCCUUCAUUAGAUUGAUGUUCAGUUGUGUAUCUAAUUCUAUUUAAAUUAGAUCUUGCAAUGUUGGAUAUAAUAUGUUUUCUUUUUUAUUGGAUGUUGGAUAUAAAACUUUUGUAGCUCCUAAGAAGUUUUAAAUGGUAGGUGAUCAUUCUGCACUACUUACUGGAUAUAAUACGUAUGGUUCACUUGAGUUUUGAAUCUAUCUCAUUUUUUUAGGUCGUGUCCUAAAAUGAUUUGGCAAAGAAAAUGGACGGGGUGAAUUUCUCAUCAACAUUACAACGGCCCCACCUAGCUCUCAUGGCAAGAAGUUCAUGGGAAAGAUUUCCGAAGAAAAGUCUGGUGGGUUUGUCACUUGUGAGAGCCACUGAGAUUGCCCUGCAAAUCUUUGGCAUCAAUUGAUCCCAACUUUAAAUUUCUAUAAGAAUUGCAACUUCUAAUUAGGAAAUUAGAGUUUCUAAAACAGUCCUUAAGAGCUCUUCUAUUUCAAAACACCGAUGCCAUUGAGGUUUGUAGUUGUUCACUAACACCCACACCGUUGACACAUGGUCACGAAUUAAAGUUUUCGUGUAUAGUUUUUCUAACAGUAUGUUGCUGUGUUUGCAUUGUCUACUUUGUGUAGUGUGACUUGCAUCCUAAUAUGGCCACGUAUAAUUAGAAUCCUUCCUAUCCUCAGUGCAAGCAUCUGUUUCAGUUUCUCAGUGUUCAUCGAUCACCAGAUGGAAGGGAUUUUUUUCAUCAUUGGCGUGGUGCUAAAUGCAGCUGCCCAGAACCUUUCCAUGCUCAUUAUAGGAAGGAUCUUCCUGGGGUGUGGAGUCGGCAUUAAUCAGUGUCAUUACUAAGAUCAAGAUUCACGGAUUUUUGGUGCAACAUAAUAUCUAUAAGUCUGAUAAUUCAUUGUUGAAUACAUGCCAAUAUUUCAUUAGCAGUUUCAAGUUAUUUUUUAAAAAUCUUUUUCUUUUCUUUUGUUUUUGUUGAUUGGCUGGUAAGCAAGGUUCAAAUCUGAGAACUCAAUGUUGAAAUGCACCCUGUCUACCAUUGAUCUACUGGCUCAAAUUCUUGCAGUUUUGCUACCAUCUAUUUUUUAUUUUCUUGCUGGUAAGAUCUUUUUUCUGAUUGUUGUGGAUGCUUAUAUUCCUUCUUGUGGCAGGUUCAGCUGCACAGUAUCCGUUCCUCGGUAGUUCAACUAAUUUGCAUCUGCAAAAACUAGUUGCUGGAAAUAGCAGUUAUGUUGAUGUUGAAUUCAUCGAUCCUGUGAUUAUGGCCGUUAGCAGAGGGAAGCUUCCACUGCCGAUGACGCACCAGAUCUCUCCCGACUACAACUUCAACAUGUUGGCUAAUUUCUCUUAGAUGGACCAGAGGCUUUAGUUGUUGCAGUCAAGAUCUAGUAAUCUGAAUUAGAAUCCAUUGAUGACAGUUGAUCAAAGCUUUAGUUGUUGAAUUCUUUUUUUUUUUACACCCUAGAUUUCUAUUCCAAAUAGAAACUAAAAUUUCAAUUUGAAAAGUGGGUGUGAUUCUCAUGUUUUUCUCCAUGAGUUGUUACCUUAUGAGAACAAAAAUGCAAGCCAUUUGAUCAAUGGCCACUGAAUAUGCAUAGGUUUAUGAAUGUGUUAAAAUAAA
RNA transcript from Magnolia sinica, 1802 nucleotides. It is a transcript of the gene named sugar transport protein MST7-like, with no coding region annotated. Lineage: Eukaryota; Viridiplantae; Streptophyta; Magnoliopsida; Magnoliales; Magnoliaceae. The transcript has 3 exons. The record is from RefSeq and is a predicted model, not a curated record.